UGGGGAAUUUUGGACAAUGGGCGCAAGCCUGAUCCAGCCAUGCCGCGUGCAGGAUGAAGGCCUUCGGGUUGUAAACUGCUUUUGUACGGAACGAAACGGCCUUUUCUAAUAAAGAGGGCUAAUGACGGUACCGUAAGAAUAAGCACCGGCUAACUACGUGCCAGCAGCCGCGGUAAUACGUAGGGUGCAAGCGUUAAUCGGAAUUACUGGGCGUAAAGCGUGCGCAGGCGGUUAUGUAAGACAGUUGUGAAAUCCCCGGGCUCAACCUGGGAACUGCAUCUGUGACUGCAUAGCUAGAGUACGGUAGAGGGGGAUGGAAUUCCGCGUGUAGCAGUGAAAUGCGUAGAUAUGCGGAGGAACACCGAUGGCGAAGGCAAUCCCCUGGACCUGUACUGACGCUCAUGCACGAAAGCGUGGGGAGCAAACAGG
Molecule: ribosomal RNA, 429 nt
Filed under: Acidobacteriota bacterium
Lineage: Bacteria; Pseudomonadati; Acidobacteriota
Description: Acidobacteria bacterium partial 16S ribosomal RNA
Rfam family: Bacterial small subunit ribosomal RNA
Source: RNAcentral